GCCAUCCCCUGGCGAAUGCUUGUUGCCCUUUCGCCUUCUCCCGACUCACACACAUACCUGCUUUACUUUUAUAUCUCUCUCUAUUCUGGAACCUUCACAUCUUCUCUUCUAAAUCGAAUGAACGGCUCUAGCGCCACCGACGCCGCUGCGGCGGCGCAGGCCGAUGGCAGCGUGGGCAUAUCACCUGGGGAGCUUCACCCAGGAGGGGUACUGGUUCAGAAUCGAAGCGACGCGGUUUCCGGUCCCCGCGACAACCUCGUUAAGAUCAAGGUUCUCCGUGGCACCCAACUCCUUGACGUCUCCGUCCCAGUCGAAUCCACCUUCGGGGAGCUGAAGAAGGUACUUGAGAAAGAGACUGGUCUGGAGCCGCACGAACAGCGGCUCUUAUUCCGGGGUAAAGAGAAGGAUGAUGAUGACUGCUUGCGCAUGGCCGGUAUCAAGGACAUGUCCAAGGUCGUGCUUUUAGAGGACCCUGUGAGCAAGGCGCGGAAGUUCGAGCAGAUGAAGCGGGAUCUGUAUAUGAAGAAGGCCUACGAUGCCAUCGCAGCUGUGAGAGCGGAAGUGGACAAGCUCGCCACCAAGGUGUCAGCUUUGGAGGCUGCCGUUCAUUCAAGCACGAAAGCUGAUGCUAAGGACUUUGCUGUUUUGACUGAGUUACUCAUGAUGCAAUUGUUGAAACUGGACGGCAUUGAGGCUGAGGGCGAAGCCAAAAUGCAGAGGAAGUCAGAGGGCAUGGAGAAGAAAAGGAUAAAAGGGAAGAAGAAAAGAACGCAAGAAGAAGAACAAACCUGAAUUUGAAGAAGAGUUGCACCAUCGCCCAGGUAUUUCCGUUCGCCACCGCUGUUCCUGAGUCGCGCUGUCACCUAGGUAUGCGUUUUUUCCUCUUUUUUUUUUUGUUUUUAUGUUCUUCACUUCUUCUCUUCUUCUUUUUCUUCUGUUAUCUUCUUCUUCUCUUCUUAUGUUAUUUCUUUUCUUCUCCUUUUUCUCUUAUUCGAUUUCACUGUUCAGUUUCUCUUCGUUUCUUCAUCUUCUUUUCUUCUCUUUAUUAUGGUAUCUUCUUUUUUUUCCUCUUUUUCUUCUUAUUGAGUUGCUGGUUCAUAUUCUUGUUGCUGUCCGGUUUUGUUUGUGUUUUUUCCUUCCAUUUUUGCAGGUUGUGCUUUUCUUGCCGACUGUCGUCCGAUUUUGCUACUGUCCGAUUUUUCAUUUUUUUGGUCUUGUUUUUCAUUUUUUCCUGUUUUUAUUUUUGUUUUUUCCUGUUUUUCUAUUGCUGGUAUAGUGCUUUUCUAUUGCUGGUACAGUGCUUUUCCAUUAAAGUGCUUUUUUAUUUUGUUUUUAAUUUUUCAAACUAUUUUAUUGCCCAAUUAUUAUGAAAGUUAGUAGUGAUACUCCAACAUAUAUAUCAAAAGAUCCGACAUGAAAUUAUUUUCAAAGAGUUAAUCCGGAUAACAAAAAUGAUUUGAUUUAUAAUUUUUGUCAAAAAAGUUACAAAAGAGGGUAUCUAUCGUGCAAACCAUCUUGUUGGGGGAUUUCGAAAUACUACGACUUGCAAAAAAUAUCCUCCUUGUGUACGUGAAGAAAUUAAAAAUUUCAUGGAAAAUAAAACAGAGAAAAGUAAUCUUUCUAAACUUGACAUUGGACUUUGGGGAUGUAGACCCUCUUGGUGAUGAUAUUGGAGCUAAAGUUGUGCCACCUAUAAGUACAAGUUUUAAAUCAGUGAAUAUGCAAAAAAAAGCCAAUAUAAAUAGGUCCAAUGGAUAUUUAUUUUGCUUCUAAUGUACAAAAAAAAAUGUUGAAAGUAGAAAGGGUAAAGAGAGACAUUUCAAACUACGAUAAAUGGGGCAUACAAGAAAGAAUUGAGGGAAAAAGUUUGUAUGGCCAUAACUGAGUGCAUGUAUGAUGCGGCAAUUCCUUUUAAUGCCGUUAACUAUUCAAGCUUCAAAAGGAUGCUGAACUUGGUUGACCAAUAUGAUGUAGGUCUAAAAGGACCUAGUUAUCAUGAGGUGCGGGUUCCUUUUGUAAAAAAAGCUAUUGAUAGUGUGACAAAUGAUUACAUUAAGUCGUGUGAAACAGAAUAGGCCAAGUAUGGUUGUAGUUUGAUGGCAGAUGGGUGGAUAGACAAAAGGCAGAGGAUAUUGAUUAAUUUUUUAAUGAAUUCUCCUAAAGGUUCAGUUUUCAUCGAAUUGGUUGAUGCUUUUGAUUAUGCAAAGAUUGGAGAGAAAAUAUUUUAGUUGCUUGAUCGAUUUGUGAAGCGUGUAGGAGAAGCAAAUGUUGUUCAAGUUGUUACGGAUAGUGCAAGUAACAAUGUGCUUGCUGGAAAAUUAUUAGAAGCAAAAAGGCCACACUUGUAUUGGAGUCCUUGUGCUGCUCACUGCGUCGACUUAAUCUUAGAAGAUAUUGGAAAAUUGCCUGAUUUUAAAGCAACAUUGAAGAAUGCAAUGAGUGUGAAUGCUUACAUUUAUGUUCGCCUCAGCAUGGUAAAUAUGUUGAGGCAAUUCACAAGACAAAAAGAGCUUUGUCAGGUGGGUGUCACAAGAUUUGCUACUGCUUUUCUCACUCUUGAAAGGAUGCAUCUACAGAAGUAAGAUUUAAGAAAAAUGUUUAUUUCAAAGGAUUGGACAGAAAGUAAAUGGGCAAAAGAAGCGGCAGGGAAGAAGGUAGCUAAAAUCAUCAUGAUACUUAGAUUUUGGAGCAGUAUUGUGCAUAUUUUAAAGAUAUAUGACCCUUUAGUCCGUAUUCUGAGACUGAUUGAUGGUGAAAGAAAACUUGUAAUGAGUUCUAUUUAUGAGGUUAUGGAUAGGGCAAAAGAAAUAAUUAUAAAGGCCUUGAAGGAGAAAGAAGAGAAAUACAAAGAAGUGUUUGAGAUCAUUGAUACGAGAUGAGAAUGCCAACUUCAUCGACCUCUGCAUGCUGCAUGACAUUAUUUGAAUCUAAAAUAUUUUUAUUCAUACACAAAUUCAAAUAUCUGGGGGAAAUUGGUGAAUGACUUGUUUGAAACUAUGAAGAGAUUGGUUUAAAGCAUUGCUAAGCAAGAUAAAAUCACUACCCAACUCUCUAUAUAUAGAAAGGCAGAAGGACUAUUUGGGAGCAAUGUGACAAUUAGACAUAGAAGAGCAUUAUCUCUAGCAGAAUGGUGGGAAUGCUACCGAGCAAAUACCCCAGAAUUGCAAAAGUUUGCUAUUUAAGUGUUGAGCCUCACUUGUAGUGCUUCUGGCUGUGAGCGUAAUUGGAGUGUAUUUGAGCAUGUAUAUAAUAAAUAUAAAUAUAUAAUACUAUUAGUAUGUUACGUUUAUAAGUAGAAAAUAUUCUUUGCUAUUUUAUUAUACUUAUUGUGAUUUUUGACAUUCUGUAGAUUCACAGUAAAAAAAGAAUAGGCAGCAACACUUAAAUGAUUUGACCUCAUCUUUUUGACAAAUAUUGAUGACAGUAAUGAAUGGUUGAUGGGUAGAAUAGAUGGAGAAAGUGAUAAUGAAGAAGAAUUAGUUUUUGAAGGUGAUGACUUGACAUGGGAUGUCGUUGCUAGGGCUAGUGGAGCUGAAGAGCCUGAAUAUUGUACUAGAGGAAAAAACAUUGCAUCCUUGGCCUCUAGUUCACAUGCGAGGCCUAAACAAGUCGAGAAGGGAAAUACAUCUUCCACUAUGAGACACUCAUCUCUAAGACUUAGAAAUGAAGAAGAAGAAAUUAAAUUUGACGAAGAUGAAGAUAAAGAAGAAGAAUAAUACAAUGCGGAUGAACUUGAGCUUGAUGAUUAAUUUGACUUAUUACGCUUGUUUUGAUGAACUUUGUUACUUUAGAUUAUAAAGUUGAAACUUGAAAGUUUGAAACUUAUAUUAAUUUUAUCAUGGUGUUGUUUUGCUUGUCAUAUUUGAUAUUUGUGUGUGUGGAAUAUUAAUAGUUAUUAUAUUUGACCGGUAGUUUAGUAAUCAACCUAAUGUUCAAGAGGCAUGCGCCUUAGGCGCGCGUCGCGCCUCAGUGCGCCUCGCGCUUCUAACAACACUGUAAUUUACUAGUAUCCUAUUACAUUUAUUUUUAAUUUUUAAUACAUCUUAUUUCGAUAAGAUUUUCUGUCUUCCUCUUUCUCGCUUUAACUAUUUUGCAAAUAUUUCUUUCCCCUUAUUUUGUAUCCAAUUUAAGAUAUAAGCAUUUAAAAUUUCAUUCUUAGCUUCAUUCACAACUUUUUUUUUUUUUUUUUGCUAUUGUAUAUUUUUUUAAAGUUUUCAUCAUUCAUACAAGUAUAUAAUACUUCAUAGGCUAUUCCUUUUUCCUUCACUUUCUUCUGUGUUUGCUCAUUCUGCCAUCAAAAUUUUUUACUUGGUGGUGCACGCCCUUUUGAUUCACCGAUUACAUUUUUGGCUAUUAUUUUUAUACUUUGAUACCAUCUUAUCCCAUGUUGUAUUCGAGUCGCCAUAUAUUUCUCAUAAUACUUGUAUUCUUACCCUCUCUUUAAAUAUAUUUUUGCUUCCUAUCCUUUAAGUUCCACCACUUAAUUCUAAGAGUCGUGUAUAAUUUCUUUCUAUUGAUAUUAUAUUUGAGGCGUAUAUCCAACACUACUAACCUAUGUUGGGUAGUUAAGUUUUCUCCGGAGAUAACCUUGUAAUCUUUAUAAAUCUUUUAAUCCUUCUUCCUAAUUAUAAGAAAGAUAAUUUGUAAUAUAUUUUUCCCAUUUUUAACGUCACUAAUUUACGAUAUAACCAUUCAAAAUUUUAUUCUUAGCUUCAUUCAUUACUUUCUUUACUUCUUACCUUGGUUAAAAAAAAAGGGCAGCCCGGUGCACGAAGCUCUUGUUAUACGGGGUCCCGGGGAAGGAUCCAUUGUACGUAGCCUUACCCUACUUUUUGCAAGAGGUUAUUUCCAGGAUUCGAACCCGUGACCUUUUGGUCACAAAGCAACAACUUUACUGUUGCACCAAGGCUCUCCUUCACCUCUUACUUUGGUGAUUAUAUAUUUUUUUAAAUUUUCCUCGUUCUUACAAGUAUAUAAUACUUCAUUUUUCCUUCACUUUCUCUUGUACUUUAUCAUUCCACGAUCAAGAUUCUUUACUUGUGGUGCAUAUCCUUUUGACUCAUCGAGUACACUCUUGGCUACUAUUUUCAACUUUGAUAUCAUCUUAUCCCAUAUCGUAUUCGAGUUGCUGCAUAUUUCUUCUAAUAUUUGUACUCAUAUCCUUUCUUUAAAUAUAUUUUAUUUCCCGUCCUUUAACUUUCACUACUUAAUUCUAGGAGUCAUGCAUAUUUUCCUUCUAUUGAUACUAUGUUUGAGGUGUAUAUCGAACAUAUGUUGGAUAGUUAAGUUUUUUCUAAAGAUAACCUUGCAAUCUUUACAAAUUCUUCUAUCCUUCCAUAAGAAAAUCAAUUUACGAUUUAUUAUUUCCAUUUUUGAGUGUGAUAAGUGUUCUUUGCUUUUCUUAUUAGCUAGUAUAAGGUCAUAUGUUAUUGUAAAAUCUAAUAUAGUUUUUCUUUUUCAUUUCUUAUUCCAAACUUAUAACUCAUAUACCCCCAUACUCUGUAAGUUGGAUAAGACUAAAUAUUAUAAGACUAUUAAUUGUCUUAAAGUGGAACAUAGAACAUAGGAACGCUCAAUAACGGUAGUAAAUAUGAUGUUCAAGAGCAAAAAAGUAUUUUAUGUUUACAAGAGACAAAAUGAGUAUGGGAGAAGGCAAAGAUAAUAGAGAACUUUAAUUUUAAGUUUUGGUAUACAGAAAAAAGUAAAAUGAGAAAUGAAGUAUGUAUUAUUGUAGAUGUUUCAUUAAAGGACAAAAUAGUAAUAGUAGUUAGAAAAGAAAAAUAAGAUUCUAGUUUUUAAGUUAGUGGAAUUAAAAGAAAUUAUUAAUGUAAUUAACAUAUAUACACCUAAAAUAAAUUAGAUGAAGACAUCAAGCUUAGAUUUUGGGAAGACCUAAAUGAGGCCGUACAAAAAAAAAAUUCGACAAACAAGACGAUUUUAAUAGGAGGAGAUCUAGAUGGAUAUCUAGAGUAAGAAACGAGGAAUAUGAGAGGGUGCAUAAUGACUAUGGUUUUGGAACAAGAAAAGAUGGGAAAAAUAUAUUGAAUUUUGCAAUAGCUUAUAAACUUAUAAUAGCUAAUAUAUUUUUUUAAAAAAGAGAAGAACAAUUAGAUAUGCGCUUCAAGCAUACUCAAGGAAAAUAUGUAUGAGUCCUAAGAUCAACUGGUGGAAGUUAACGGAUGAGAAACAAAGUAUCUUUAUGGGAAGUUAAAAAUACAAGUAUGAGAAAUACAUGACGACUCAAAUACAUUAGAUAAGAUAGCGUCAAAUAUAAAAACAGUGGCAAGAGCAUCCUUGGUGAGUCAAGAGAAUAAAUACCAUCAAAUAAAGAAUAUUGGUGGUGAAAUGAGGAAAUACAAAAGACAUUGAAGGGAAAAGAAUAUUGGUGGUGGAAUGAGAAAGUACACAUUAUCAUAGUGCAUACUGUUUAUAGAUGAUAUUAUUUUGGUUUUUAAGACUCAUGAAAGAGUAAUUGCUAGAGUUUGAAUCUUGGCGGAAGAUAUUGGAAGUUAAAUGUUUUAGACUUAGCAGUAUAAAAAUAAGAUAUAUAAAAUUUAAAUUUAGUAGUAAUAUACAUAUUACGAUAAUUGUUAAGAUAAAAAGUGAUGAGCUAUUUGUAAAUGAAAGAUCAAAAGGAUAGAGGAGUUACAAAUAUUUUACGUAAGAUACAAGGAGGAUAGUUGAAAUAGAGGAGGGUGUUUGCUAUGUUUUUGUGAUCGUAAGGUAUUUCUAAAAUUUAAAAAAAGUGCUACAAAAUACUGAUUAGAUUUGAUAUGAUAUAUAAAGUUUAAUGUUGGGCUAUAAAGAGAGCAUACAAGUAGAAGAUGAGAGUCACAGAUAUAGGAUGUUAAAGUUAAUGUAUGGACAUACAAAAAUUGACAGAUAAGAAAUAAGAGUAUUAGACAGAAAGUUUGUAUCUAUUAAGGAAAAACUCCGAGAGAUAUAUUUAAGGUGGUAUAAAUAUGUACUUAGGCAAUCAAUAAAUGUCCUAGUUAGACGAUGUAAGAUCGUGACAAAUAUGCAUAUUAAUUAAGAGAGAUAAAAUAAGACUAGUUAUUAACAAUAAAAUUGAAUAAAAUUUAUUUAAAUAUAAAUGAUAAUAUAGUAAAAAAUCAAUCUCACUCGCUUAGGAUAAUCCAUAUGGAUGACCGUUGAGGAAGUUAUGAAAGUUGAAUAUAAAUUAUUGGAAGAAAUAUGAAUUGAUAAUCCGAUAGUGGCAGUUUUUUUGGCUAACAAAUCGUUUAUUACUUAUGUUCACUCUGUGCCAAAUUGCUAGUAUAUCAACUAUCUAAAGUCAUGUGCAAGGACAUUGCGAAGUUGAGUUGCGUUUUUUCCAAAUAUUUAAGGUCAACUACAACUAAAUGAGUUUUUUUUUCCUUCAUUAAGUUUCUGUGCAAAGUUGUAGUAUUGACAAUUUUUUAAAUUAAUUGUUUUUUUACUUAUGAUAACAUUUUUUGUCUUUUUCAUUACAACCUUCCACUCUUUUAGUUUUGACUCUUUUAACUAUUAGUCAAUAGUGAAUGUGUCAAUGAUAAUGCCAUGAUGAUCAAUUUUUUUUUCUCAUUCUAUUAUAUACUAAAGCUACAUUUAAUUUCCCUCAAAUACUUGUAUCUUUUAUUUUAGGUAAAGAGGAACAUGACAAUCACACAACUCUAGAAGCUUUUAUUUUAACUACUUAUUUAUUGAAUAUCAUUAUGAUUAUCUAGUAUUAAUUUAAAAACAACUUUGACUUGAUCUUUAAUGCAAGGCUAUAGCUAUAGGAAAAUGAUUUAUCAAUUAAUAUAAUAUUGUUCUUGAAUACGAAUAUAGUUAGUUAAUUUAUUCAAUAUUAAUUUAAAAACAUACAAAUGAGCUUUAAUGGGGGUGUAUAAAUAACUACAAGAGAGCUCUCUUGAGCCAUUCAGAUCAUUUAGUUUGGGUGAAUCGAUUGGUUCUAAUAACUCAGUUGGUUUUAAUGGGCUAGAUGGAGUAAUUAGUUUCACUCGAGUGGUAUUAGUCUAACCUAACUGUUGCUUCAUUAAGAUGAUCUUGUGAAGGAAAAUAUUUCCUAAUAUAUGAAAAUAAAGGAGACAUAUAAACUUGUGUGAUUCAAUUAUAAGGGUAUUAAGCUAAUGAGUUAUAUAGUGAAACUUUGAAAAAGAGUGAAACAAAAUAAAGAGACCAUAUUGAUCAAAAAUCAAUUUGAGUUUAUGUCUAGAAAGCCAAUAAUAAAAGUUAUAUAUCUUUUCAAAUAACUAAUUGAAAAGUAUCAGGAAAAGAAGCAAGACUUACACAUGGUAGUUGUCAAUCUUAAGAAAACAAUAUGAUAAGAGUCCUGAAGGAAAUAAUAUGUUAGCGUAAUGCAUAUUGAAAUAAUUAAAGAACAUAUAUGAUGAUGUAAUGACAAGAUUGAAGACUCCAGGCAGAUUAACCGAAGUCUUUCCUAUAAAGAUGAGUUAAUUAAGGAUCAACUCUAAAUUCUUAAUUUUUUACACUAAUCAUGGAUGAACUCACUGGACAUCCAAAACACGUUACUAUGAUGCAUUUUAUUUACAAAUGAUCUUAUUUUGGUAGAUGAGGCAUAUAAAGAAGUAAAUGCUAAAAUUUAAGUUAAAUAAUAUUAAAUGUAGUAAGAUAAUUGUUAAAAUGGGAGAAGACGAGUUACUAAGAGUUUUAAAUAUUUUGAAAUGUUUUAAACUUAGUAAAGAUAGAAUAUAUGAAAUUUAAGUUAAAUAAUAUUAAAUGUAGUAAGAUAAUUGUUAAAAUAGGAGAAGACGAGUUACUAAGAGCUUUAAAUAUUUUGAAAUGUUUUAAACUUAGUAAAGAUAGAAUAUAUGAAAUUUAAGUUAAAUAAUAUUAAAUGUAGUAAGAUAAUUGUUAAAAUAGGAGAAGACGAGUUACCUAAAGUUUUAAGUAUUUAGGAUUAUUUUUGCAAAAUGAUUGAGAGAUGUCUUACAUAGAAUAAAGACAGGAUAAUUGCAAUGGAGGAGAACGUUAGAUGUUCUUUAUUAUCGUAAACUAUCUCUAAAACUUAAAUGGUAGUUCUACAAAAUGACGAUUAUACAAAUAUGAGAGUUGUAGAGAUGAGUAUGUUAAGGUGGAUGUGUGGACAUACGAGGAUAAAGAAGAUAAGCAAUAAGAAUAUUAGAGAGAAAGUUGAAGUUGUGCUUAUUGAGGAAAAUUUCCGAGAGAUGCGUUUAAGAUGAUACAACCUUAGAAGACCAAUAAAUGCUCCUCCCGUUAGACGAUGUGAAAUUAUAUCAAAUGCACACAUUAAAUAAAGAAGAGAAAGACCAAAGAAGACUUGGUUACUAAGGAUAAAAUAUGAUAAAAUAUAUUUAACUAUAGAUGAUAGUGUAGAGAAUAGAGCUCAAUAGAUUAGGAGGAUUCAUAUAGUUGACCAUACUUAGUGGGAUAAGAUUUGAUUGUUGUAUAUGUUAACAACAUAUCCAAAAUGUAAAAAAUAAAAUGUUUUGCCAAUUGCUAUGCUUAUAAAUUUUUUUAUCCCAAUUUUUGCUACUUUAUAUUUCUAUUCAAAUAAUCUACAUUUCUAUAUCUUUCACUCUUUAAAUAAAGUAUCUUUUGUAAAUAAUUUUUUUCAUACGGUUUCUAAGAUGGUUAGUCCUGUAUUCCAUGGUAUUACCUCAUAAUUUUUACACAAUUAUUUAGAAAGGUGAAUUGCUACAGGUGAACAAAUGCUCUUCUCUCUUCUUAAAAGCAAGCAUUGAGAAUUAGAAGAUUCUAAAAUUGUACUAUGUACUACCCUCGUCAUUUCUUUUGGUAUACUGCGAAUAAUUGAAUUUAGGUAUUCUCAAAAUCCCCUUUUGAUCAAUCAGUCUUGCUGAAGUGUAUAGACAUAAUGUUAAGUAUCUUAUUUUCUAGAACUAGUUGUAGCACAAUAAAUUUUAUCUUCGUAUCUUUUAUACUUUGACAAAUAUAUUCUUAUAAUCCUUUUCUAGCAUGAUACCCUUUUCAUUUUUAUUCGUAACUUCAGUAUACCAAAUUUUAGAACAUAUUUUUCCUAUUUAUCUAGCUUUUUCUCCAAUCUAGUUUAUUUCUUGUAAGCAAUUUGUGUUGAAUUUAUUUAGCACCUACUAAUUCUGGUACUUCCUCGUGAGUUUUUCUAUAUUUAUGUUGCUUAUUAUCAUUGAUUAACUUCAUCUAACAAUUUGAAAACCCUUAUUUUUGUCUCACAUUCACAUUCGGAUGUUGAUGUGAUGAGUCACUUUUGGCAACUUCCUAGCUCUUCCUUUACAUAUUGAGGUACUUGAAUGAUGAAAUCCUUCCACCUGUGGAUGAUGGCAUAGCCUCACUAAAAAUCGAUAGACACUGGAUGUCCAAGCCUAAGGCAAUUCUCAUUUUUUUUCUCUUUUUUUUUGUACCAUGACUUGAUCUUAUUAUGUGCAAACAGAAAAGAGGAAAAUCUCUACUGAUUCCCCUAUCGAGAACAUUUUUUCA
RNA transcript from Zingiber officinale, 10437 nucleotides. It is a transcript of the gene named BAG family molecular chaperone regulator 4-like, with no coding region annotated. Lineage: Eukaryota; Viridiplantae; Streptophyta; Magnoliopsida; Zingiberales; Zingiberaceae. The record is from RefSeq and is a predicted model, not a curated record. The transcript has 5 exons.